GAGUGAUGAAGGUUUUCGGAUCGUAAAACUCUGUUAUNAGGGAAGAACAAAUGUGUAAGUAACUGUGCACAUCUUGACGGUACCUAAUCAGAAAGCCACGGCUAACUACGUGCCAGCAGCCGCGGUAAUACGUAGGUGGCAAGCGUUAUCCGGAAUUAUUGGGCGUAAAGCGCGCGUAGGCGGUUUCUUAAGUCUGAUGUGAAAGCCCACGGCUCAACCGUGGAGGGUCAUUGGAAACUGGGAAACUUGAGUACAGAAGAGGAAAGUGGAAUUCCAUGUGUAGCGGUGAAAUGCGCAGAGAUAUGGAGGAACACCAGUGGCGAAGGCGACUUUCUGGUCUGUAACUGACGCUGAUGUGCGAAAGCGUGGGGAUCAAACAGGAUUAGAUACCCUGGUAGUCCACGCCGUAAACGAUGAGUGCUAAGUGUUAGGGGGUUUCCGCCCCUUAGUGCUGCAGCUAACGCAUUAAGCACUCCGCCUGGGGAGUACGACCGCAAGGNUGAAACUCAAAGGAAUUGACGGGGACCCGCACAAGCGGUGGAGCAUGUGGUUNAAUUCGAAGCAACGCGAAGAACCUUACCAAAUCUUGACAUCCUUUGAAAACUCUAGAGAUAGAGCCUUCCCCUUCGGGGGACAAAGUGACAGGUGGUGCAUGGUUGUCGNCAGCUCGUGUCGUGAGAUGUUGGNUUAAGUCCCGCAACGAGCGCAACCCUUAAACUUA
Molecule: ribosomal RNA, 721 nt
Filed under: Staphylococcus equorum
Lineage: Bacteria; Bacillati; Bacillota; Bacilli; Caryophanales; Staphylococcaceae
Description: bacterial SSU rRNA
Rfam family: Bacterial small subunit ribosomal RNA
Source: RNAcentral